UUAACUAUUAGAUAGUACUCAGACGACACUAACAUUCAGAGUUUGGGUUUCCUCUGGCAGGCGCGAUCCAGCCGGAGCCGGUGCCCGAGGGCGGCCUGCCAAAGCAACAAAGAUAUAAUAUACAAGGGUGGGCGUUUCUACCCGUGAGGGCAGGGAACACUGUAAUGAUCCUUCCGCAGGUUCACCUACGGAAA
Molecule: unclassified non-coding RNA, 194 nt
Filed under: uncultured fungus
Lineage: Eukaryota; Fungi
Description: sequence contains ITS1
Source: RNAcentral